RNA transcript from Quercus lobata, 1891 nucleotides. It is a transcript of the gene named dehydrodolichyl diphosphate synthase 2-like, with no coding region annotated. The record is from RefSeq and is a predicted model, not a curated record. Lineage: Eukaryota; Viridiplantae; Streptophyta; Magnoliopsida; Fagales; Fagaceae. The transcript is spliced from 4 exons.
CCAGUAAGUAAGUUACAGACUUACAGUUAGAGUUCCAUUUCUCACUACCCUAAAACCCUAAAAAUUGAAAUCUUCCUCCAUCACUCACAGUCCUUUACCAAUGCUCUUCUCUCUCUCACUCUCACUCUCACCAACCACACUCACCUCCUCACCUCGCUUCAAAUUCCACUCAUGCCCGCACGUCCUCCCUCCAAAACCACCACCUCCUCGUCUACGCGCCUCCUCACAGGCACACCACGUUAUCCUCGAAGACAAUGGGAGCUUCGCCGGCGCCGGAGCUGCGGUGGAGGAAAAUAUUUUACCCGCGGGUCUCCGGACAGAGACAAUGCCGAGACACGUGGCUUUGGUCAUGGAUGGGAACAGGAGGUGGGCCCGCCUCAGGGGCUUGCCGGUCGGGUCGGGUUACUAGGCCGGUGUUCGGUCCCUGCGAGCCAUUGUAGAGCUGUGCUGCAAGUUGGGAAUUAGAGUUCUCUCUGUUUUCGCUUUCUCUAGUGAAAAUUGGUUUCGCCCUCAAGUGGAAGUUGAGUUUUUAAUGGAAUUAUUUGAAAGAGGAAUGAGAGAUGAAAUGGGGAGCUUGUUGAGGGAAAACAUUCGAAUUUCUGUGAUUGGGGAUUCCUCUAAGCUAUCAAGAUCCCUACAGGAGCUAAUAACAAGAACCGAGGAGGCCACCAAGACUAAUUGCGGACUCCAACUUAUUGUAGCAGUUAGCUACAGUGGGCAGUAUGACAUUGUUCAAGCCUGCCAGAAGAUUGCUGUAAAAGUAAAGGAUGGACUAAUUGAACCCAAUGAUAUCAAUGAGUCUCUUAUUGAACAGGAGCUGGAAACAAACUGUACCAAGUUUCCCUAUCCUGAUCUACUGAUACGUACCAGUGGGGAGCUUAGGAUUAGCAAUUUUUUGUUGUGGCAAUUGGCCUACACUGAGUUAUUUUUUGCACAAUCACUCUGGCCUGAUUUUGGAGAAGUUGAGUUUUUAGAGGCUUUAAAAGCAUUUCAACAAAGGCAGAGGCGUUAUGGUGGAAGAGAUUUUUAAGUGAUUAUGUCUUGAAUUCAGUGUUGUUGAAGAGGCAGAAAGAGAAAUACGCGAGUGUUGGUGCGAUGAAGCAAAAUAUUUAAGAGUGAUAGUUGUUGAAGAGUUCUGAUACUGAAAACUGGAAAGUGUGGGUGGACUUUUAUGUCCAUCGAUAAAGCUGAAACUGGAAAGGGCCAUCGAAUAUAGUCUCUGCAGGCCAAAUCCUUUUUUGACUUUGAUAUUGCUUCCAAAGGCACCCCAUGCCAAGUUCAUUGUUAUAAGAACCCCAAUUCUUGCUUCUGUUAAAAGUGUGAAUCUCUCUUCCGUAACCAGUUUGGCAGUGUAAGAGGUCACUAGGAUAACAUGGACUAAAUCAGCCCGAGUACCUGACCAUAUUGCAUCCUAUUAAAGUCUUAAGGUUAGACAAUAGUAGAUCUGUGGUGUAGAUUGAGACUUUUUGGCCUCUGGUGAGUGAUCUAUGUUUUCAUUCUGGAUCUUGUUUAUUUGUGUAUCUAUCAUAAUUUUACAAUUGGCCAACGCUAAAUUGUUCUUUGCACAAUCUCCACACUGUUGAGUAUGACAGCUUUUUCAUCUGUUUUUUUACAAAUUCUAUGGCUCUGUUAGAGAUUCCCCAAUAAUGUUCUUGAUUUGAGUCUGACUUGAAAACUACUUUUUUGAUUUCUGGGGCUAGGGGGUAAGUUUCAGCUGUGGGUCUUGGUUUAAGCCAAAAGGGUCUUUCACGCCAUGAUUUCUUGUUUUUUGUUGUUUCUUUUCUUUUCUCUCUUUUUACUUUGCUUUCCCCUCUGUUUAUUCUUUUCUCUUGAUGUAAUCCUAGCUAAUGUUUUAAUAAAACACUUGGUGCAAGGGGCAUAUGAAAUUUAA